Mustela lutreola (European mink) is the source of this 664-nucleotide long non-coding RNA. RefSeq lists it as uncharacterized. NCBI's taxonomy places the organism in Eukaryota, Metazoa, Chordata, Mammalia, Carnivora, Mustelidae. The transcript is spliced from 3 exons. The record is from RefSeq and is a predicted model, not a curated record.
GUUGGGAGUUGCUGGUUCUGGUUGAGUUUGGCUGGGUGGGCAUGGGCACACUGGCCUAGCUCUCGUGGCUUCUAGGAAUUAUGACCUCUGCACAAGCUGUCCCCUUGGUGUGGGGACUUUGUUCUGUCUUCUUUCUCUCCUGCAGGCUGACAGAGUGAUGCAGAGACAGCUCAGAGGACCUCUCCCUGGGGAAACUCUUCCCCUUCAUGGAAGCUUCUCAGCACGACAUACUGAGAUUAUAGCACAGAGCUUAUGUCUUGUCUUCUGACAUGGGGAGGGAUGGUGACCUCUUCAUCUCCAACCAGCUCAGUGACCUUGAUCCUCCCCUUUUGAGCACCCCGCUGUCCUAGUCUGGGAUGCCUGUGGAACACCAUUACAACACUGAAACCACCCGAGUGCUGGAACCAGAUACUAUUUCCCUCCAUUUAACUGAAAACUGAGGUGCAGAGUGUGAAUCUGUCCAGAUCACACAGCUGCUAAGAAGCAGAGCCAGGAUUUGGAAGCAGAUAGUCCUGUGGAUUAGGCAUGACUGUGUGAGGCACUUCUGCAGGGAAGAAACCAAGUGACUAUAAGCUGCUUGCGCGAGGAGGACAGCUCCAGCGCUGCCCUGUCUUGUCCCUGGUGUGUCCACGAAUUGCUCUACCAAGGCCCUGAGGAAUGCAGG